UACGUAGGGUGCGAGCGUUAAUCGGAAUUACUGGGCGUAAAGCGUGCGCAGGCGGUUUUGUAAGCCAGAUGUGAAAUCCCCGGGCUUAACCUGGGAAUGGCAUUUGGGACUGCAAGGCUUGAGUGCGGCAGAGGAGACUAGAAUUCCUGGUGUAGCAGUGAAAUGCGUAGAUAUCAGGAGGAAUACCGAUGCCGAAGGCAGGUCUCUGGGCUGACACUGACGCUCAUGCACGAAAGCGUGGGGAGCAAACAGG
This 253-nucleotide ribosomal RNA is filed under the name uncultured bacterium. RNAcentral's name for it is "partial 16S ribosomal RNA". It matches the Rfam family "Bacterial small subunit ribosomal RNA", at positions 524 to 776 of the family's 1533-position model. The record is from RNAcentral.